CCCCGCCCUCCUCCCGCCUUUGGGAGCCCGCUCGUGGUCUCCCGGUCUGGAAAGCUGUUGGAGCCGUGGGGCCGUGGAACGGUUCAUGUGGCAGUUGGAGAACGGGACCUGGCUGGGCAGGACAGCCUUGAUAGCUCCACCCCUACCAUCCCAGGUCCUCCAGGGGGGUGGGAGGGCUGCCUUCCCCAGGGAUACACCUUUAGAGAUCUACGCUCUGAUGUUGGGACCUGGCAACCAUCUCAAGGAGCUCAUUUAGGGCCAACCUCUGGAACUGACCGAUCGGGGCCAUCUCCAGGGGAUCUGCAGUGUCAUCAGAUUACCUGCAAGCCUGUAGAAGAGGAAGGAUAUGCCAGUGAUCGCUUCGGAGGUGACAGAGGAACCUUCCUUUCCUUACGCUCAUUAUACAUAUGAGGAAACUGAAAGCACGAAAAGGGCUGCGGACCCAGACUGGCCUGGCAAGGAUGUGCGCUCCGCAACAAAAGAAGCCAUUGCAAUAAGAAGCCUGUGCACCACAACGAAGAGUAGCCCCCGCUCGCCACAACUAGAGAAAGCCCACGCCCAGCAAUGAAAACCCAACGCAGCCAAAAUAUAUAAAUAAAUAAAUUUAUUAAAAAAAA
Molecule: long non-coding RNA, 617 nt
Organism: Balaenoptera ricei (Rice's whale)
Lineage: Eukaryota; Metazoa; Chordata; Mammalia; Artiodactyla; Balaenopteridae
Exons: 3
Source: RefSeq, a predicted model, not a curated record